This is a long non-coding RNA of Eucalyptus grandis, 412 nucleotides long. RefSeq lists it as uncharacterized. The transcript is spliced from 2 exons. Lineage: Eukaryota; Viridiplantae; Streptophyta; Magnoliopsida; Myrtales; Myrtaceae. The record is from RefSeq and is a predicted model, not a curated record.
CCAUUUUGUUCAACCAGCAAAGCCCAAGUGAUUCAAGCUCAGGCCCAAUUCCAUUGCAAGCUUAAGGCCCACUUGAACUCAAGCCCAGUCCAAUUUCAAAAGCAAAUCUCAGAUUUGGGCUGAGAUUUGUUGGGCUAAGUUUAGGCCCAGCCCAAGUUUGUCGACGCCGCCAAAAAUUUCGAUUUUGGCCGCCAUCGAGUCGUCGUCGCGGUGAACCGGUUUCCGCAAUUAACCGGGUCGUCGAGUGGAGGACCUGGAGCUGAGAGGAUGUGAUCGGAAGCAUAGGUCAGUUAGGACCGCUUCUUUUUGGAAGGCCAGUCUUUUGUAGUCUUUGGCCAUAGACCUGUGUUCAUGACUCAGUGUAUAUAUAAAAGCAUGUUUGUGUAUGAAUCUAUUAUUCUGCUUUUCUAUC